UCAGCUUGUUGGUGAGGUAAUGGCUCACCAAGGCGUCGACGGGUAGCCGCCUGAGAGGGUGACCGGCCACACUGGGACUGAGACACGGCCCAGACUCCUACGGGAGGCAGCAGUGGGGAAUAUUGCACAAUGGGCGCAAGCCUGAUGCAGCAACGCCGCGUGAGGGAUGACGGCCUUCGGGUUGUAAACCUCUUUUAGCAGGGAAGAAGCGAAAGUGACGGUACCUGCAGAAAAAGCGCCGGCUAACUACGUGCCAGCAGCCGCGGUAAUACGUAGGGCGCAAGCGUUAUCCGGAAUUAUUGGGCGUAAAGAGCUCGUAGGCGGUUUGUCGCGUCUGCUGUGAAAUCCGGAGGCUCAACCUCCGGCCUGCAGUGGGUACGGGCAGACUAGAGUGCGGUAGGGGAGAUUGGAAUUCCUGGUGUAGCGGUGGAAUGCGCAGAUAUCAGGAGGAACACCGAUGGCGAAGGCAGAUCUCUGGGCCGUAACUGACGCUGAGGAGCGAAAGGGUGGGGAGCAAACAGGCUUAGAUACCCUGGUAGUCCACCCCGUAAACGUUGGGAACUAGUUGUGGGGUCCAUUCCACGGAUUCCGUGACGCAGCUAACGCAUUAAGUUCCCCGCCUGGGGAGUACGGCCGCAAGGCUAAAACUCAAAGGAAUUGACGGGGACCCGCACAAGCGGCGGAGCAUGCGGAUUAAUUCGAUGCAACGCGAAGAACCUUACCAAGGCUUGACAUAUACGAGAACGGGCCAGAAAUGGUCAACUCUUUGGACACUCGUAAACAGGUGGUGCAUGGUUGUCGUCAGCUCGUGUCGUGAGAUGUUGGGUUAAGUCCCGCAACGAGCGCAACCCUCGUUCUAUGUUGCCAGCACGUAAUGGUGGGAACUCAUGGGAUACUGCCGGGGUCAACUCGGAGGAAGGUGGGGAUGACGUCAAAUCAUCAUGCCCCUUAUGUCUUGGGCUUCACGCAUGCUACAAUGGCCGGUACAAAGGGCUGCAAUACCGCGAGGUGGAGCGAAUCCCAAAAAGCCGGUCCCAGUUCGGAUUGAGGUCUGCAACUCGACCUCAUGAAGUCGGAGUCGCUAGUAAUCGCAGAUCAGCAACGCUGCGGUGAAUACGUUCCCGGGUCUUGUACACACCGCCCGUCAAGUCAUGAAAGUCGGUAACACCUGAAGCCGGUGGCCUAACCC
This 1189-nucleotide ribosomal RNA is filed under the name Microbacterium hydrocarbonoxydans. RNAcentral's name for it is "bacterial SSU rRNA". It matches the Rfam family "Bacterial small subunit ribosomal RNA", at positions 241 to 1441 of the family's 1533-position model. The record is from RNAcentral. Lineage: Bacteria; Bacillati; Actinomycetota; Actinomycetes; Micrococcales; Microbacteriaceae.